RNAcentral lists this ribosomal RNA (456 nucleotides) under Sphyrna tudes (smalleye hammerhead). Its description in RNAcentral is "partial 12S ribosomal RNA". It matches the Rfam family "Bacterial small subunit ribosomal RNA", at positions 878 to 1533 of the family's 1533-position model. Lineage: Eukaryota; Metazoa; Chordata; Chondrichthyes; Carcharhiniformes; Carcharhinidae. The record is from RNAcentral.
UACUACAAGCGCUAGCUUAAAACCCAAAGGACUUGGCGGUAUCCCACACCCACCUAGAGGAGCCUGUUCUAUAACCGAUAAUCCCCGUUAAACCUCACCACCUCUUGCCAUUACCGUCUAUAUACCGCCGUCGUCAGCUCACCCUAUGAAGGACAAAAAGUAAGCAAAAUGAAUAAAACUCCAAAACGUCAGGUCGAGGUGUAGCAAACGAAGUGGAAAGAAAUGGGCUACAUUUUUUUACAAAAACAUACGAACGGUAAACUGAAAAACACCUAAAGGUGGAUUUAGCAGUAAGAAGAGAUCAGAGUACUCUUCUGAAAUUGGCCCUGGGAUAAGCACACACCGCCCGUCACUCUCCUUAAUAAAUAAUCUACUUUUCUAUAAAUAUACUUUCUUAAUAAGAGGAGGCAAGUCGUAACAUGGUAAGUGUACUGGAAAGUGCACUUGGAAUCAAAA